This 497-nucleotide ribosomal RNA is filed under the name uncultured bacterium. RNAcentral describes it as "partial 16S ribosomal RNA". It matches the Rfam family "Bacterial small subunit ribosomal RNA", at positions 28 to 507 of the family's 1533-position model. The record is from RNAcentral.
GACGAACGCUGGCGGCGUGCCUAAUACAUGCAAGUUGAGCGCUGAAGGUUGGUCCUUGUACCAACUGGAUGAGCAGCGAACGGGUGAGUAACGCGUGGGGAAUCUGCCUUUGAGCGGGGGACAACAUUUGGAAACGAAUGCUAAUACCGCAUAAAAACUUUAAACACAAGUUUUAAGUUUGAAAGAUGCAAUUGCAUCACUCAAAGAUGAUCCCGCGUUGUAUUAGCUAGUUGGUGAGGUAAAGGCUCACCAAGGCGAUGAUACAUAGCCGACCUGAGAGGGUGAUCGGCCACAUUGGGACUGAGACACGGCCCAAACUCCUACGGGAGGCAGCAGUAGGGAAUCUUCGGCAAUGGACGAAAGUCUGACCGAGCUACGCCGCGUGAGUGAAGAAGGGUGUCGGAUCGUAAAACUCUGUUGGUAGAGAAGAACGUUAGUGAGAGUGGAAAGCUCAUCAAGUGACGGUAACUACCCAGAAAGGGACGGCUAACUACGUG